RNAcentral lists this ribosomal RNA (303 nucleotides) under uncultured Glomus. RNAcentral's name for it is "SSU rRNA". It matches the Rfam family "Eukaryotic small subunit ribosomal RNA", at positions 569 to 874 of the family's 1831-position model. The record is from RNAcentral. Lineage: Eukaryota; Fungi; Glomeromycota; Glomeromycetes; Glomerales; Glomeraceae.
AGCAGCCGCGGUAAUUCCAGCUCCAAUAGCGUAUAUUAAAGUUGUUGCAGUUAAAAGGCUCGUAGUUGAAUUUCGGGGUCAGUAGGUUGGUCGUGCCACCGGUACGUACUGGUCUCACUGAUUCCUCCUUCCUGAUGAGCUGGGGUAAUGCCAUUAAUUUGGUGUUGCAGGGAAUCUGGACUGUUACUUUAGAAAAAUUAGAGUGUUUAAAGCAGGCUAACGCUUGAAUACAUUAGCAUGGAAUAAUGAAAUAGGACGUUCGAUCCUAUUUGUUGGUUUCUAGGAUUGACGUAAUGAUUAAUA